This 274-nucleotide ribosomal RNA is filed under the name uncultured bacterium. RNAcentral describes it as "partial 16S ribosomal RNA". It matches the Rfam family "Bacterial small subunit ribosomal RNA", at positions 523 to 796 of the family's 1533-position model. The record is from RNAcentral.
AUACGGAGGGUGCAAGCGUUGUCCGGAUUUAUUGGGUUUAAAGGGUGCGUAGGUGGUUUUUUAAGUCAGUGGUGAAAGCCUACAGCUUAACUGUAGAGGUGCCAUUGAAACUGGGAAACUUGAGUAUGGACGAGGUAGGCGGAAUUUGUGGUGUAGCGGUGAAAUGCAUAGAUACCACAAAGAACACCGAUAGCGAAAGCAGCUUACUAGGCCAUAACUGACACUGAGGCACGAAAGUGUGGGGAGCGAACAGGAUUAGAAACCCCAGUAGUCC